CACACGCAGAAGGAAUAUUAGGUCACACCGUGACGUUGAUCACAUCCCGGCUUCAUUAAAUGUGACAUUUACUGAGAAAAUCACUGUUACCUCAGGGGAGCCAUUAGAUGGCAGAAGCGACAAGACUGGCAGCAAGAGAAGAAGGUUAGAGGCACAUUUGGAAGUCCCAAGAAUAAAACAAGAGGAAUUUUAAAGGUUAAAGACCAAGGAGGACAUGAAAGAGAAAGUAAAAGGACUUUCUUGGAGUCACGCUGACUUACGCCUCGGGAGGGGCACGAUGCUCCGUGGGGCUUGGCUCCUCAGUGGGGACGCACCGGAAGCAAAUCUGUAGAACGGUGGGAACAUGAUGUCUCGAGGCUGGCAUCUCGUGGAACAUCAGCGUCACCCGCUGCUGGCUUUCCUGUCGCGAGCUACAGAUGCGGGGCGUCUCGUCUGCAAGGUCAGAGCUGUUCGUCAGAGAGACUAAAGGUACCGAGUCUCGGACACCCCAGUGAGCGGUGAGUCCAGUUAUGUACUGGAACAUUUUAAAAAUCACCAAAUAAUUGGAAAUUCCUCUUUUAUCAUUAAAAAGUUACAAAACAUUCACUCAAUUAAUAAAAUCAAACACAAGAUACGUUGAGGACGAAGU
This 628-nucleotide long non-coding RNA is filed under the name Ursus maritimus (polar bear). RNAcentral's name for it is "lncRNA (ENSUMAG00000004763.1)". Lineage: Eukaryota; Metazoa; Chordata; Mammalia; Carnivora; Ursidae. The record is from RNAcentral.